AAAGAAUUAAAACAAGUUGUCUCUAAGAUUCAGGAAAUGGGAGGGACAUCUAUCUUCAUAACAAGCCUUCUGGAAGUGAAAGACCUG
This is a non-coding RNA of Ceratotherium simum simum (southern white rhinoceros), 87 nucleotides long. Lineage: Eukaryota; Metazoa; Chordata; Mammalia; Perissodactyla; Rhinocerotidae. The record is from RefSeq and is a predicted model, not a curated record.